This 30-nucleotide non-coding RNA is filed under the name Mus musculus (house mouse). The record is from RNAcentral. Lineage: Eukaryota; Metazoa; Chordata; Mammalia; Rodentia; Muridae.
GAGCUUUGUUUUUCAGGCCCAGACACCAGU